Molecule: transfer RNA, 75 nt
Filed under: Mustela putorius furo (domestic ferret)
Lineage: Eukaryota; Metazoa; Chordata; Mammalia; Carnivora; Mustelidae
Rfam family: tRNA
About the family: Transfer RNA (tRNA) molecules are approximately 80 nucleotides in length. Their secondary structure includes four short double-helical elements and three loops (D, anti-codon, and T loops).
Source: Rfam by way of RNAcentral
GCCUGGGUGGCUCAGUUAGUUAAGCAUCUGCCUUCAGCUCAGGAUGGAGCUCAGGAUGGAGUCCUGCCUCAGGCU